RNAcentral lists this long non-coding RNA (165 nucleotides) under Mustela putorius furo (domestic ferret). Its description in RNAcentral is "lncRNA (ENSMPUG00000026035.1)". The record is from RNAcentral. Lineage: Eukaryota; Metazoa; Chordata; Mammalia; Carnivora; Mustelidae.
GAAACUGAGGCUGGGGAGAUUAAUAAAUGGCACAUAGUCACAGAGCAACUCUGUUUCCAGGGGAACUACCAAUCACAGCCACUUCUGGAUGGUUCACUUCCAAAGUACUCUGCCUACAGGAGGAGCGCGGGUGCCUGAAAUCCACAGAGGUGGACGGCUCAUUAC